UACGUAGGGUGCGAGCGUUAAUCGGAAUUACUGGGCGUAAAGGGUGCGCAGGCGGUUCUGCAAGUCAGGCGUGAAAUCCCCGGGCUUAACCUGGGAACUGCGUCUGAUACUGGGAGGCUUGAGUAUGGGAGAGGGAUGUAGAAUUCCAGGUGUAGCGGUGAAAUGCGUAGAUAUCUGGAGGAAUACCGGUGGCGAAGGCGGCAUCCUGGACCAUAACUGACGCUGAGGCGCGAAAGCUAGGGGAGCAAACGGG
Molecule: ribosomal RNA, 253 nt
Filed under: uncultured bacterium
Lineage: Bacteria
Description: partial 16S ribosomal RNA
Rfam family: Bacterial small subunit ribosomal RNA
Source: RNAcentral